GUUUGUGCCUUAAGUAUUGGUGCACUGAGGUAUUGAGAGGAGGAGAAAAAUAGAGGAAAGCCACGGAGCAGAGGCCGAGAGUUUGGAGGUGUUGAUGAUUCAUUGAUGAAUUUAUUUUGCAGUGUAACGUAGAUUACUAGUUGUGGGUUUAGGAGAAGAGUUGGCGUUCAGGAUUAUUUUAUUUAUUUAGAGAUUUUAUGUAUUUAAUUUAAGAAAAUUGAUUUAGUAUCAAUAAAGGAUAAAGGAAUUUUUAUUUUCUUUUGAAAUCCUGAAAUAUUGAAGUAUUUGAAAUUGAAUAAAUUAAAGAUUUUAUUUAGAAAAUUCGAGACGUGACAUAGCCCAUUCAGUCAAGCCCAAGUCAACUCAGCCACAUAGUAAAAAUAAAAGCCCAAGCCAAAUAAGCUCAGGCUCAGCCCAUGGAUGAUGGGUCAUCAACACACAAAAUAUUUUUAGGGUUCAGCCUCCCCAAUCGCCUCCAUCUCUAUUCUCGUUCUCAACUCUCCCUCUCUCUCUCUCCAACUGCAAACUACAAAAUCUACAAGAAUCAGAAGUUCAAAACCCAUAUAUUUCAGUUUAUCUAUCUGUCUGCAAGAAUCAAAAGUUCAAAACCCAUAUCGGCAUAUCAUUUCAGAUUGUUUCAAAAAUCAAAACCCAUAUCUUUCAGUUUCCAUCGCCCGUUCCAGUUCCUGGUUCGCCGUUUGCAAGCUUCUGCCGCUGUCUCUCAACUCUCAAGCUUCACCCCCCCCCCCCCCCCCCUCUGCAACUGCUAACUUGUGAAGCAGUAAGGAAGGAACGCAGGUCACGGAAAAGGAAAACCCUAGCCUCAAUCCUCGUGUAAGGUGAAGAAAGAAGGAAGAGGACGCGCAAGGAGGAGAAGAGAAUCUCACUGUCUCACUGUUGCGGCUAGGGUGGUGGCGGUUCUGAGCCUCUAAGAGGCAUGUCUCCUCAAUCAUCAGGUUUACUUCAUGUGAAGGGAAAAGAGCUCAGUGAAAUGAGUGGAAUCGGAAAAUGAGAGUUGAUUGGAAUGGGUGGAGUAGGGAAAAUACCUUUCGGUUUCGGCUGGCGUGACGUCGGGAAGAUGCCUUUCGGUUCCGGUUUGCACGGUAGCGGCUUCGUGGGGAAGAUUCCCGUUUACUGACAGAGACAGCUGCAGGAGGGAUGGGAUGGCUUUUGGUUCCCGUUCUCGGACCGCUGGCCACAGUAGAUCUACGCCUCGCCCUAGCAGAGAGGUAUCUUUUGGUUCCCAGUGGACUGAUAGGGGCAGCCGGAGGUACAUGACUACUGCUCCUCGUAGUAAAUCUAUGCCUCGCCAGACUUAUAUUUCCCGUUGGAUUUACGGUGGCUCCAGUAUACCAAAAAAGACUAUUACUACUGAUUAUUACCAAUGGAAAGUACACAAGUGCUCAACAUCAAGCCAUAACUAAUGGUAACAAGGCGCGGCUAUCAGUUGCCACAUUUCAUGACCCUGCAAAUACAGUGAAAAUAUAACAAGGCGCGGCUAUCAGUUGCCACAUUUCAUGACCCUGCAAAUACAGUGAAAAUAUCUCCAGCUUGUGAGCUUGUCAGUGACGAUUCUUCUCUCCGGUAUCAUCAGCAAGUUAUCUAUGGGGACUGAAAACGGAAUAUUGAUGCCUUCCUAUUAUAAUCAAAUGAUGGUGUUUGGCCUUUGUAAAGCAUAGGAACUCAUCAAUGUCUCCAUAAAUGGAUAAAAUUCAUCAAUCGAUCGAUCUAAUGGCUAAAGUCACAUGGAGAGCACAAGUGAUAGAGAACACCCUACGUAAACUCACUCUUCCUUUAUUUUGCUUUGCAUAGUUCCCAGGCUUGCUUGAUGGAGCAAGUUUGUUUUGUAUAAUUGUUUUGUAUAAUUUGUUCUAGUGUUGUCUUCAAUUUUUCUGUUCGUCUCUCUCAACUCUUGUAUAUUGUUUCUUUUUACUGUUUGAAUAAAAGUUUACCAUGUUGAACCCAGAAAAUAAUAAUCAUAAUCACAACAAUCACCAUUUCUUUCAGACAGUUGAUGCAAUUAUACAUGGAUAGCAUGGGUUCUCACACAGCAAAAAAAAAAUCAAAAAAAAAAAAAAAAAAAAUUCACAGCAACAAAAGAGACUAUAAAAACAUCAUACUUAAUUUAACUAUCAUUAAACUAAAAAGUAAGGCCGCAAGUUGGACUGGCCCAGCCCAGUUCUAAUCCACUGGUCAAAUUUUAAAUUUUAUUUUUACAAAUGCAUAAACAUCAAAAUUUUUAAGAAAAUUUAAUUUUUUAAUUCAUCAAUACUUGCAAUUUUUUUCAAUUUUUAUAACAACAUGGAACUGCAGAUGAAUGAGCAAGGACUUUGAACUCUUGAAGGCCAAUUUUUUUAUGACAACAUAGAACUGUAGAUAAUGUGAAAUUACUGUUAACCGUGGAAAUAAUGUUUAUAUAUACUGUUCCCAAAUUUUUAUUCAUCUUCCAAUCAAAACAUUUAUCCUGUACAAGCACAGAAUAGAAACUGAUAAUUUUUUUUUUUUUACUGAUAAAAUUAUUUUUUUACUUUUUUUUUCUCCCUUCUCUCUUCUCUCUCUUUUUCUCUCUCUCUCUCCCCUUCUCUUUUUCUCUUCAUUUUUUCUUCUUACAGGCAAAGGAGGAUAGAGGAGACAGGAUCGGCCUGUAAAAAUAAAAAAAAAUAAAAACUUAAGAAAAAAAAUUUUAUUUUUUUAUUUUUUAUUUUUUAUUUUUUAUUUUUGUCUCCCUCCUCUCUCUUCUUUCUCUUUCUCUUUCUCUUUCUUUUGUCGCUUCAUUUUUUUCUUCUUAGAGGCUAAGGAGGAGAGAGAGAAGAGAGAGAGAGGGGACCGUUUGUAUGUUUGUUUUUUUUUUUUUGGCAAUGGAUUAGGCCCCUCCACUCUCUAUUUUUUUUUUUUUUUUUUUUUGCAUUAUAUACUUGAAUUUUUUGAAAAAUUAUACAGAUGUCCGCACUGAAGUUUCACAAAUGCCCCCACUGUAUAAGUUCCCCCACAAUUAUUUUAUCUCCUAGACUCCUGCAACAACUCACAAGUUAUACUACUUUACGCCCUUUCACGCUUUGGUUCUCUGCGUCCUACGCGAACAACAGACGAGACGAAUAUGGCUUCGGGCCUUCUGCAGUUCUUCCCAUCACCGACCAGCCCCCACCUCCAUCCGGCAAUCCAUGUCUCUCUCUCACAUAGAUGACACCCACUUGCAAUUUGUAACCCUAGUUUUUAAUUUCAACAGUUGGUGUUCAAAGCCCUAAUUUUCAUAACUUUGGCUCUUCAAGACUUCAACUAAGCUCCGGAACAGUUGGUGUUCGAUUGAUACUUUGGAAACAUUGAAUCAGUUCUUGUAGCCACGAAAAGCCGACCAUUCAAAUUUUAUGUUGCUUCUGUCAGAUUAAUGCCCUUUGCCCCUUUGGUCAGCUAUUUCGAUUGAUUGUUGUUGUAUGUUGAGGCCCUUUGUACAACAACAACAAUUUGGAUAAAUUGGGAGUUGCAACUUGCAAGAUCAAGUCCUUUUGUACGGGUUACUUCUGUUAAUAUUAAAGAAGACAUGAGUAUUGCUGUAGUAAAUGGAACUCCAACCAGGCUUGAGGGAAGGUUUAGUGCAAUGGUAGUAUGUUGGAUUCUUGGACUCGGGUCCGUCGUGUCAUGGAACAAUUGGAGACUACUACUAUAAAUUGUUCCUGGUACUUCGCCCAUAGUUAUUUUCCAUCCUUCUUUUCAGAUUAUGACUCUUUCCUUUAAAUUCAUUCAUUUUAUACAUCUUUCCCGCCAACAUAAUAUCAAGGACAAAUUUCCUACCAACAGAAAUUGAAUGUCACAAAACACUUAUCCAAUGUAAAAUUAUGAUUUUAGACCUGUGCACCAAUUUCUUUUGUGAUGUGUUUCUUUUGCAUAGAAGAAAUACCAUCCUGCCAGGGUUCUUACCCUCAUUUAUCAACCGUUCGCAUUUGGUACAAUUGCAAUACUUUCAUACAAUGAAUACAUUGUAUGAAAGUAUGAAAGUUUAUCAACAGUUCGCAUUUGGUACAAUUGCAAUACUUUCAUACAAUGUACCAAAUGAUAAACUUUCAUACUUUCAUACAAUGUACUCAUUGUAUGAAAGUAUUGCAAUUGUACCAAAUGCGAAUGGUUGAUAAACGAGGGUAUGAAAGUAUGAAAGUUUAUAAUAAUGAGGUAGGAAAACCAAUGACGCUGUAUGGAGCGCCAAUGCUGAACUGCGUAGGCAGUUGGAUGACGCUUUCAGAAUUGGCUGAACUGCGUAGGCAGUUGGAUGAGUUGCUUGAGUCUGGCUACAUUCAAGCAUCCAAGGCACUGUAUGGAGCGCCAAUGCUGUUCCAGAAGAAGCAGGAUGGCUCAAUGCAGAUGUGUGUGGACUACAGGGCUCUGAAUAAGGUUUGGCAAAUUCCUCCUCCUUUACGGUUAAAGCAUCGAGUGUUAUAAGUUAUCUGGUGACCAUGUCUAGCAGUUCAGGAGUUUUCAUUUUAUAUAUAUUAAUUUGAGAUUUUUUAUUUUUGCUUUAACAGAGAUUUUUAUAUAUAUUAAUUGGAGUUUCAUUUUGUUGAAUGGACAUUGGAGAUUUUUAUUUUGGCCUUAAAAGAAGAAAUAUAUGUUGAGAUGUUGGCUU
Long non-coding RNA from Cornus florida, 4615 nucleotides. RefSeq lists it as uncharacterized. The transcript has 10 exons. NCBI's taxonomy places the organism in Eukaryota, Viridiplantae, Streptophyta, Magnoliopsida, Cornales, Cornaceae. The record is from RefSeq and is a predicted model, not a curated record.